RNAcentral lists this ribosomal RNA (407 nucleotides) under uncultured bacterium. RNAcentral describes it as "bacterial SSU rRNA". It matches the Rfam family "Bacterial small subunit ribosomal RNA", at positions 355 to 776 of the family's 1533-position model. The record is from RNAcentral.
UGGGGAGUAUUGGGCAAUGGGCGCAAGCCUGAUCCAGCAACGCCGCGUGAAGGAAGAAGGCUUUCGGGUUGUAAACUUCUUUUCUCAGGGACGAAGAAAGUGACGGUACCUGAGGAAUAAGCCACGGCUAACUACGUGCCAGCAGCCGCGGUAAUACGUAGGUGGCAAGCGUUAUCCGGAUUUACUGGGUGUAAAGGGCGUGUAGGCGGGACUGCAAGUCAGAUGUGAAAACCAUGGGCUCAACCUGUGGCCUGCAUUUGAAACUGUAGUUCUUGAGUACUGGAGAGGCAGACGGAAUUCCUAGUGUAGCGGUGAAAUGCGUAGAUAUUAGGAGGAACACCAGUGGCGAAGGCGGUCUGCUGGACAGCAACUGACGCUGAGGCGCGAAAGCGUGGGGAGCAAACAGG